Lineus longissimus is the source of this 3230-nucleotide long non-coding RNA. RefSeq lists it as uncharacterized. The transcript is spliced from 2 exons. The record is from RefSeq and is a predicted model, not a curated record. NCBI's taxonomy places the organism in Eukaryota, Metazoa, Nemertea, Pilidiophora, Heteronemertea, Lineidae.
UUGCACACCGUACACGCAGGAUUUUACUGCUUGAAUACAGGCGACACUUAUUUCCUGGGUUUUUAAGAAAACCACAAAUUUUUUGUCUUUAUUGGAUAAUGUGACAGACAUACCCUGACUAGAUUUCUUGAAGCAGAAGACAUCAGUCUGCAUCCAACAUGGCUGGCACAAAUCUUACCGGAGUUGUGCACAUCGUGUGCGGCAUUCUUGCCAUUAUGUUCUACGCUAUCAUCAUUGGGAUCAAAGUGCCCUUUUUCUACUUGGGGGCCGGCAUCUGGGGAGGAUUCUUCUUCAUCGUGGCGGGGGGAAUAGGAAUCACCGCGGCAAGAACUGACCAAAAGGGCAUGUACAUGAUGUCCUUUGUAUUUGGCAUCAUAGCCUUCCUGUGCGCCCUUGCCUGCACGUGCAUUGCUGCAUUCGUCUUCUACUAUUUGCUGAAUAUCCAUCCAGACCGCUUCGAUUACAUGCCAAUGUUCCAGCUGUACUUGGCGUUCAACAGCCUGUUUUUUAUCGUCUCCAUUUUCGAUUUGGCGGUGUCGGUUUUGCACUUGAAGGCGUCCUUGUCGGGGAUUUCGGACUCGUCGUCGUAUGGACAAAAUAAAAAUGUCAGACCACCAGCCUAUAAUCCGGAAACAGGAUAUCGCCCCCCACCCCGGGGAAAAUAUUGAUCAUCAAACAUUUAGCCUGUGCAUGAGCAGUGAAUACAUUUAGUUUGUAACUUUGAAAUUAUUUUGAAAGUAUUGUAUAUACUCAAUUAAGUGCAUGAACAUAAUACUUAAGAUGAGGUGAUUACCAAUUUACGUAAGAUAGUGUCGCCUGAUGUUCCCGUACUUGAACCGGAAAUGAAGUACAGAACUCCUGGUGGCGAGAUUGAUGAUGUGUUGUAUGUUGUGGAUUCAGUGCUUGGUUUUGAUAUAUCUAGAAACGUCAUCUAGAAGUAAAAUGGAGGGGGACGCUUUUCCCUGCCAUUGUUUUAUUACUUGCGAAGUGUGGAUAGAACACAAGGGAAGGACCAUGAAGCCUUUCCUUGGACUGGCUUCACCCCAUUUUACCUCAUUUCCGAAUGCAUAAUCUUUGUCAGGGCAACUACUUGUAAUUAUCAGGGUGUGAUAGAAAUAUCGCACAGCCUGCACAGAACCACCUGUGACCAUUACUGGGACUUGCUUCCAGAACUGGUUGCAAUGUAACUCUUUCGGAAAACAUAAAGAAAAAUAUAAGGGGUUUAUAUUAAAUCAUUUAAAAAAUAUUUUUUCAUUCCCCUUAACUUCAUACAUUCCAUUUUAUAUUUAAAUCGUCCUCUCCCGUUUUGCUGAAAACCGGUGUGACGUUUUUGGUUGUGCGCCAUUUUUCUGUGUUCUUAAACAACAGAGUGUCGGAAUAAGUUGUGACUUGACUCUAGGGAGGUUGAGAUCAAGGACCUAUCACGGAUCCUUAUACGUUUACGGAUAAAAAUGUCCAAAAAAUCGUCCUCUCUGUCCAGGGGUAUACAUAUGAGGAUCCUUGACAAGUCGCUGCUUUCAACCUCCCUGUAGGGUAUUACACCGAGAAAGGUGAACGCUGUUUUCUAGCGUUCCCAAAAGAACCGGAAGCACUAAGAAAUAGGUACACUCAAAAAGUAGUUCACUUGAGCCAGUUUGCGAUAUGUAUGUAGCUUAGCAGCUGACGCGUCCACUCAUAUCAAAACGUCCACUUUUACAAACUAUGUAAUAUGUAUACAACAAUGCAUUAUCGAAAAUUAGUAGUAUAGACAUUGAUUUUUGGUAAUGUCACAAACCUAAAUGCUAUUUACAUGUAGGUUUGUGGUACAGUGUUCGUGUGUAUAAACCAUCCAUCCAAUCCGUUGCGUGGCAAGUUUCAUCAUCAAAGAUGGCAAUUUACAUGUAUAGGCCUGGGCCUCCUUUGGGUCAUCCUGGCACCACCGGUUUUCGGUGUACUCCACCUCUCACGAGGUAGGAGAAUCUCAGGAUGCCUUUCAUGGGUCGCACUGCAACGUAGCAUCAGAGAUUUCACGAGCUUUAUGCACUUUCCAGUGUAACUUUAGGGGGAAUUGACUCUUUGGAUUUUUGUUUGACAUUUUUACUCUUUUUUAAAUCUGUUAAAGCGAUAAUUGAACGAGAUGUUCAUUUGUAUGAUCCCUCCUUGCAAAUAUACUAAAGAUGGAUAUACAUGUACGUUAGGCCCUUUCCGGAGUGGCUCUAAGAAGUUGUCAAUAAUAGAUCUUGUUUAGAAUCACGCGAGCAUCGAUAUUAAAAUUCAACUUUAAUUAUCAGUAUUUCAUUGCCUUCGCACCCCUGUUUAUAUUGUAUCAAAAGCAUAAAAUCAAUGCUCUAUUAGAAAAAACUGAAUUUUUGAUUAGCAGUUUUGAUAGAAACGUAUGGCUGUAAAUUCAGGCUUUAUAGUGAUGGAUCCUUCAUUUUCAUCUUGACCAUUCCGUAUCUGUCGUAACAUCAUAUCAAAAGAAGAAACGGGUUGUAUACAUGUACAUGUAUAUAAGCAUGUUUGUAGUUUUAUAUCGCAUGUAGUCUUAGACACUAUACAUUCAAAAUACAUGUAGUGGGUCACUUUGUUAAAAAAAAAGAUACAUGUAGCCUAGAAUUUGCGAAUAAAAUUUCGCCAGUGCAUCAAAAUGAAACACGAGCAAUUACGAGCAUGGGUAAUUUCGUUGUUACCGUUUCUGCAUUCCAGUCUCGAGAAAGACUUCAGCCUGUGACACGAAACAGGGUUAUUUUUGUGCUAAAUCAAGACGUGACUGGAGCAGUGGAUAGGCUCUUUCGUUAUUCUUGCAUGGUACCAACCAAAUUUUCCAAGCAUAGAGUUUGUCCACAUUUGUUGAGUUCAUUUUUCAUUUUGUUGCCGGCGCAGGGUAAGACUUUCAAUCCUCCGAUGUUGUUUUAACACCUUGUACAUGCGCACAUGAAAAUGGCAGGUCUAAAAUCAAAAACCGAACAUAUCUGCAGUAUCUUUGUUGACCGACAAUAUAAAAUUACAAAAUGUAGUUGAUAGUUUAUACAUGCUAUAUGUCAGGCUACAAAAUGGGUUAUUAGAUCUAUUUCAAUGCUGUGUUUGUUCUGUCGAGGGUUAUCAAAAAACUUGUACAGGCAUAUACCUGAUAUGAUAUAUGAUGAUGACUGACAACCGACCUUGCAAGUUUCAUUUUUAAUGAUUCGUAACAAAAUAUAUAGUAUUUUACACACCAUGUACAUAGUGCUGUUGGUCAAAACGAAGAAGAA